Homo sapiens (human) is the source of this 401-nucleotide long non-coding RNA. The record is from Ensembl. Lineage: Eukaryota; Metazoa; Chordata; Mammalia; Primates; Hominidae.
CGAUCACUGUCCACGUGUUAACAAAAACCAGAGCCGCCACCACCCCAUCACUGGCCUUGCGGGGCAGGAGUGACUGUCCCCAGGUUGUCCUGCAGAUGAAGAAGCCAAUUCAGAGCAGGUGAAUGAUCUGCCCAGGGGCGCACAGCCAGUCAGCGGCAGGGCCCAGAGGACAUCCAGGUGCACUCAGCUCCCAAGCCAAUGGUGUUUAUGACACCCUUCUUCCCCCAACUAAAGUCCGCAAGUGGCCAAGCGCGGUGGUUCACGCCUGUAAUCCCAGCACUUUGGGAGGCCAAGGCAGGCAGAUCACCUGAGGUCAGGAGUUCGAGACCUGGCCAACAUGACAAAGCGAGACACCAUCUCUACAACAAAUACAAAAAUUAGCCAGGCGUGGUGGCAUGCAC